AGGGAACGAGUCCAGCGUGAAACUAGCAACACUCCUGAAGACCAUAUUGAAUAUGCCUCCGUGAAUUGGCCGGGAAGCUCUGGGCAUCCACCGCCUCAGGGAGAAGAGACGCUGACAUACGCAGCGAUCACUCUGCAGCGGGGCAGAUGUCAUUAAUGCUCCAUUGCUGAAAUGCAGUGAUCGUCACAGCCCAGCCACAUCAAAGACCCUCCUGAAAUCAGAAGCAACUGUAGCGGCCGUGCAGUAAG
Long non-coding RNA from Trachemys scripta elegans, 248 nucleotides. RefSeq lists it as uncharacterized. The record is from RefSeq and is a predicted model, not a curated record. The transcript is spliced from 3 exons. Lineage: Eukaryota; Metazoa; Chordata; Testudines; Emydidae.